UACACACCGCCCGUCACACCAUGGGAGCGGGUUCUGCCAGAAGUAGUUAGCCUAACCGCAAGGAGGGCGAUUACCACGGCAGGGUCAAUGACUGGGGUG
This 99-nucleotide ribosomal RNA is filed under the name uncultured bacterium. RNAcentral describes it as "partial 16S ribosomal RNA". It matches the Rfam family "Bacterial small subunit ribosomal RNA", at positions 1384 to 1482 of the family's 1533-position model. The record is from RNAcentral.